CCGGAAGCGAGGAGAUAAAACUGGAACACAAAUAUUCUCAGUCAUAUUUUACUUGUUUAUCAUUUCAUUUUACUCAUACAUAUACGUUGUUUGCUUUUACUUUUCCAAUUCACCAUGAGUCGAUUUAAAACAUGGAAAUACAAGAAUGCAGCACCCAAGAUACCGGACGCAAAGGUAAAAUACGGUUGAUUAACUUGAUUUAUAGCUAUAAACGUACUUUGGCUGUAUUGGUAUAUCCGUGUAUGCUAGCCUGGAAAAUUUAUACAUGAUGUUUUUAUGGUUAUCUGCGUUGCUGCUUUGCGAGAGACCAUGGCUUUUAUUAACGUAUUGUGAAGUGUGGCUUGGUGGACGUUUUUAGCCGCAGGAAAUAUGUGAUCGACAUGACAAAAUAUAUUUUUGAAAUUAUUUUAGCCAUUGAGGUGGGGCUAUAUAUGCCCAAUUCUGGAUUUUUGACGGCUUUUUGACAUGUAUGGAAGAAUUGUGGUUAGUUUCAUCCAGUUAAUGCCUGAGAUAGUCGGACAAGCAAGGUGUAGAGUUGGCAAUGCUGUCCAUUGUACAUUCCAUGUAAACAAUAUGUGGCAAUAGUCUAUUUCUUGGUGUUUCAGGGACUCACUACAUGUAUUACUGCAGGGCUUGAAAUAUUAAACAGCCAAUCAAUGAUCGGCAUGAAAUUGUUUAUCAUUGUCAAAAAAACAGGGUUUUCAACCAGGAAAAGUUGCGGCCGAGUUCCAGGAGAAUGAUAAUCUUAAGUAAUGCAAACCUUAAUCAGGAUCUUAACCCAUUGAGCCGCAAUGCGCCCUACUUAUUUUUUUUUUACUUGUCUAACGCCAGACGAUUUUACUCGUCAGCAGGGAAGCUCUGCAGCUUAAUGUGUUAAGUAUAUACCUUAAUACUUGUAUUAAAAUUUGUGUCGUAUACAUCAUUUCCCCUCAGCUUUAAAUUUGCGGAUUUAAUUUCACACACCUUGUUGAGACUUAUUCGCACAGCUUUAAAUUUACGCAAGUAAUUUUCUGUGUUCGUUUAAUAGAACUUUUAUUUAACAGAACGAUUAACAAUUAACGCAUUUAUAAUGAGUAUUUUUUAUCAACAAAUAGUUUUUUCAAUAUUUGUCAAAACUUAAUCAAAAAGCAAUUAGGUGACCUCAAAAAUGGCUUCAAAAUUAUGCAAUGUAAGCAAAAUUCAUGAUAACAAUAAAGCAUGAGUUCAAAAUACCAACAAGAACUAAACGUUUUCCUAAUACAAUAACAUAAUGCAAAUAAUAAUGCAAAUUAGUUAAUAAAUCAACUGAUUUGCAUUACUAACACUUGAUGAGUAUCUCAUAUUACACCACAAAGCUUUUCGUGUGGAUUAUAUUUCGCGCAGUAAGAGGUGUAACUUAACACUUGCUUGCUUGCCCGGGGCAAGUGAAUAUCAUGACUGGCAAGUAAACAUUUUAUCUUGCUUGCCCCGAUUGGGCAAGUUGCCUUGCCACAAAAACCUGGACAUCUUUAAAUUUAUGUUUUCAUUUUCAGAUAUAAUUUUUUUAUAGUGCAUGUACUUGAUUGAAAUUUUGUUUUUUGUGGGCCACAGCUAGAUCUGAGGCAGUAUAACAUAACAUAGCCAUAUAGAGCAGACGAGCAGUGGGAGAAUGGGUUGACAUGUUGUCCCCUUAAUUUAUACCUUAAUUUAUCACAACUUGUUAAGAAGCUCACUACAAGCCUAUUGAGGAGACAUCUUGUUGAGAAGUUGUUAGAACAGCAUUGUCACAACUUGUUAACAAGCUUGCUACAAUCCUCUUGCAGAGACAUCUUGUUGAUCAAGUUGUCGGAACAGCAUUAUCACAACUUGUCAACAAACUUGCUACAAACCUGUUGCAAAAAGUCUUGUUGAGAAGUUGUUAGAACAGCAUUGUCACAACUUGUUAACAAGCUUGCUACAAUCCUCUUGCAGAGACAUCUUGUUGAUCAAGUUGUCGGAACAGCAUUAUCACAACUUGUCAACAAACUUGCUACAAACCUGUUGCAAAAAGUCUUGUUGAGAAGUUGUUAGAACAGCAUUGUCACAACUUGUUAACAAGCUUGCUACAAUCCUCUUGCAGAGACAUCUUGUUGAUCAAGUUGUCGGAACAGCAUUAUCACAACUUGUCAACAAACUUGCUACAAACCUGUUGCAAAAAGUCUUGUUGAGAAGUUGUUAGAACAGCAUUGUCACAACUUGUUAACAAGCUUGCUACAAUCCUCUUGCAGAGACAUCUUGUUGAUCAAGUUGUCGGAACAGCAUUAUCACAACUUGUCAACAAACUUGCUACAAACCUGUUGCAAAAAGUCUUGUUGAGAAGUUGUUAGAACAGCAUUGUCACAACUUGUUAACAAGCUUGCUACAAUCCUCUUGCAGAGACAUCUUGUUGAUCAAGUUGUCGGAACAGCAUUAUCACAACUUGUCAACAAACUUGCUACAAACCUGUUGCAAAAAGUCUUGUUGACAAGUUGUUGGAACAGCAUUGUCACAACUUGUUAACAAGCUUGCUACAAACCUGCAGUAUUGCAAACACAUCUUGUUGACAAUUAGUUGUUGGAACGGCAUUGUCACAACUUGUCAACAAGCUUACUACAAGCCUGUUGAGGAGACAUCUUGUUGACAAGUUGUUGCAACAGCAUUGUCAGAACUUGUUAGGCCAAAAAAAAUAUGUGGGUUUCCGGUUUCCCAACCCUACCUAGCUUUUGGACGUCGAAAUCCCGACCCCAAACUUUUUUAUUGGAUCAUGCUCAGUGUGACCAGAUUUUUUCAGCAGUCAUUACCAAAAUUUUGUUCAAAUUUUACUAAAUUAAGAAAAAUUUUACCAAAUAUCGGCUUUCCAAAUAAUUACGUCAUAAUAAUGCCAAAAAACAAUAGUUGCAUCAUCAAAGUAGAAAAAAUAUGCACAAAAGUCAAAAAGCAUCUCGAAAUACUUCUUGCUUUCAUCCGUUGCAGUUUUUGCUAAUGAUAAGGCUUUAUUUCUUAGGCUUGGCAGUUCUGUUCAUCACUUUGAGCAUGUUAUUAAACAAGAAACACACAUUUUUACCAAAAUGAUUAUUAAUCAUUAAAACCUUUCAGAUUUUACCAAAGUUUUACCAAAAAAAACUUAUUUACCAAAUUUUCUUGAAAAUUCACAAAAUUUUACCAAAAGUAAAACUUUUUACCAAAUCAGGUCACACCACUGAGGGUCACACUGAUCAUGCUUGCAAGUGUUUCCACUUAGAGGAAAAAGUUUGUGGAAAAUUGAAAUUUGAGGCAAUAUUAGCGAAAUUUAUCUUUGGAUGUGGAAGCACUGACUAAACAAAAUGGCGUCCGCUUGUUCGGAAAAUUAAAAAGAAAGUUUAAAAAAAAAAGUUAAAAACUUAAAACCGACCUACCCUACCUAAGGUUUUAUAAGAAGAAACCGGAAACCCGCAUAUUUUUUUUGGCCUUAGCAAGCUUUCUACAAGCCUGUUGAGGAGACAUCUUGUUGACAAGUUUUUUGAACAGCGUUGUCACAACUUGUUAACAAGCUUGCUACAAACCUAUUGCAAACACAUCUUAUUGACAAGUUGUUGGAUCAGCAUUGUCACAACUUGUUAACAAGCUUGCUACAAACCUGUUGCGAAAAAUCUUGUUGACAAGUUGUUGGAACAGCAUUGUCACAUCUUGUUAAGACUGUUAACAAGCUUGCUACAAACCUGUCUUUUGACACGUUUUUGGAACAGCAUUGUUACAACUUGUUAACAAGCUUGCUACAAACCUGCAGUAUUGCAAACACAUCUUGUUGACAAGUUGUUGGAAGGGCAUUGUCACAACUUGUGAACAAGCUUGCUACAAGCCUGUUCAGGAGACAUCUUGUUGACAAGUUGUUGCAACAGCAUUGUCAGAACUUGUUAACAAGCUUGCUACAAUCCUCUUGCGGACGAGACAUCUUGUUGACAAGUUGUUGGAACUUCAUUGUUACAACUUGUUAACAAGCUUGCUACAAACCUAUUGCAAACACAUCUUGUUGACAAGUUGUUGGAACAUCAUUGUCACACUUGUAACAAGCUAGCUACAAACCUACAGCAUUGUUGUUAACAAGCUAGCUGCAAACCUACAGCAUCCUGUUCACAAGUUGUUGGAACAGCAUUGUCACAACUUGUUAACAAGCUUUCUACAAGCUUAUUGAGGAGACAUCUUGUUGACAAGUUGUUGGAACAGCAUUGCAUAGCCAGAAAUCUCAUACAACAUGGCGACGAGUAUGCGCAGAAAACGCUAUUGCGGCGCUAAAUAUGGCCGCGAAAUGAGUGUAAAAUGUAUUAACAAUUUGAAAUUUCUAGCUGCCUGUCUUUGCCAUACGAAAGCUGACCUUUCCCAGCGUCAAAAUCAAUAAAACACUCCUUGAAGAAUAUUUAUAGCGAACAAAAUUUGAAAAUAAGAUCAUUCUAGACGGUGCCUUUUUCAACUUUUGUUGAGAUGGUUACCUCAGUACUAUUCUUAAUAAUUUAUCAAUUUAACGCUAACCUUUGUUCAAACUUGGUCUGCUUAGACAGAAUCACCCCAUCGAUGAAUCUCCCCCAACGUCACAUUCAAAAGAUAAGACGUUAAACUAUCUAAAAAUAUAUUUUUUAACCAGAUAUUCAACCGUUGAAGCGGUGCCAUUUCCAGCUAAAGAUCGUAAUAAUUUUAAACGUUAAAUAUAAAACUGAAGACGCACGGCUAGCACAAAAUAUCUUUAAAACUAGUUCAUUCUGCUGUUCACGACAAUUAGCUAUAGUGUUUAACUUGACAUAAACUUUCGUUCUCCCUCGGUGGCUUAGUGGUAUAGGUCGUUUGGCCUGUGUCGACAAACCUUUGAGUUCGAGUCGCGUCGAGUUCAUAUUUUCAAUAUUUUUUCCUUUUAUUUCUAUCCAGCUGUUUUUAUUCUUUUUACAUCUUUAUAUGAGAAAUCGCUUUGCAAGUAGUUGGAAAUAUUGGUAUGUUGAACCUGGCUCGAAGAAAAUAUACAAAAUAUUAUCAAAACAAGAGUAUUAAGCUAUUAUGAGGAACAAUUUGGAGACAUUGAGUGAGUUUACGAGGUACUUCAUCUUACAACGUCAUAUUGGCGCUUGCGUGAGUCCGCGAGAUGAACCGCUUGCCGUCGCAGAUUUCUGGCUAUGGUCACAACUUGUUAACAACCUUGCUUCAAACGUAUUGCAAGCACAUCUUGUUGACAAGUUGUUGGAACAUCAUUGUCACAACUUGUUAACAAGCUUGCUACAAACCUAUUGCGAACACAUCUUGUUGACAAGUUGUUGGAACAGCAUUGUCACAACUUGUGAACAAGCUUGCUACAAGCCUGUUGUCGUUUUGAGGAGACAUCUUGUUGACAAGUUGUUUGAACAGCAUUGUCACAACCUUUUAACAAGCUUGCUACAAACUAGACUUUCCAAAAUCCUUUCCAGACGCUUCUUUGGCGCGCUUCACUUCUUCUGUGGAAAGGACUUUUGUCACUUGCAGCGCGCCAAGUAUCACCGAUGGAGAAAUCCACUGGUCACGUCAUUGUUUACAGGUUUUACAUUGAAGGCCGAAGCGGUUUACAUUAUCGGUCAUUAUCGAAGGAGUCUAAAAAUAAUAUUAUAUUGUCAGGCUUUUUUGUUGAACAAAUGUGUAUUAUUGAAGCAAACAGAGUAAACAAUGUAAAUACAAUUUUGAAGAACACAAAAACCAUGUGAAAAUACACAAACAAGCAUUACAUUGAGUAUAAUAUUAUUUAAAAGAACAGGGUGUAGAAAUAAACUUUAUUAGUAUAAUUACAUAGGUGAUUAUUGAAAAUUCUCCACGCUGAGUGGUUGCCGUUGAGGUGAUUAUUACGCGAUAAUCGCCUGAGCGAUUUUCAAAAUGGCGGCCGAAGCCUUUUUGUCAAUUAAAUAACGAAGAAAUGUGUAUUUUCUUAUUUUUUCCAAAUAAUCACCUAUGAAAUUAUACUAAAACAAUUAUUCACCUCAGGCUCGGUGAUUAUCGUGAAUAAAAACCUCGACUUCGUCUCGGUUUUUAUUCACCGAUAAUCACUUCGGCGAAUAAUUGUUAAUCAAUACUGUCACCGAAGAUGCAUCUAAUGAUUCUAAAAUUUCCUCCCUAGUUUCUGGUUUAGUUUUGGUUUCUUGAUCUCAAUUACUGAUUAUUAAUACAAAAUCGUUCGUUGAGAAAACAACGCGGAUUUUGAACUCUGGCGACGUCUUCUCGUUGAUCACAAUCGCCGCCUCUCUGCUUUUCCGUUACAGUUGUCUGACUCUUUUCAAUUUGAUUAACUUCUACUACGUUAAAUCGCUUGCGAUCUUAAUCAACUUUCUAUAAUAAGUCUAAUAAAUUACUAUUCUUGUCGAAACAAUUACGGCACACAUUGUUAGACAAACAACUGUCCAGAUUCAAUAAGUCUUUACAUGCACUCGUUUUUGUUGAUACAUUGAACAGCUUUCGGCGCUUACUUGGGUCAGUUAUUUCGUUUCCACACUCGGUGCAAACUGUUUCAUUCGAGGACAAAGAAAUAUCAAUUCUUGAGAAUGUUUUUGUAGACCCAUUGUCGGCGCGGUGAAGUAAUUGUAUGAAAUGUACACACCCUUUUUAUGUCAAAAUUAUUCGCGCCAAAAUUUGUAAUGCGAUUUAAAUUCCUGCAAGGGACACAAGUCGACCACUCGCGACUUCGUCGCUAGGGUCGCGCGUUCCCUCCCCCGCGCCCUCCCUCCCCCAUGGUCGGCUUGUGGCAAGUCUAGCUACAAACCUAUUGCAAACACAUCUUGUUGACAAGUUGUUGGAACAGCAUUGUCACAACUUGUUAACAAGCUUGCUACAAGCCUGUUGAGGAGAUAUCUUGUUGACAAGUUGUUGGAACAGCAUUGUCACAACUUGUUAACAAUCUUGCUGCAAACCUAUUGCAAACACAUCUUAUUGACAAGUUGUUGGAUCAGCUUUGUCACAAGUCACAACUUGUUAACAAGCUUGCUACAAACCUGUUGAGGAGUCAUCUUGUUAACAAGUUGUUGGAACAGCAUUGUCAGAACUUGUUAACAAACUUGCUACAAACCUACACACGUAAAAACGCACAAGUUGUGACACGUCUGUUCACAAGCUGUCAACAAAUUGUACUCGCACUGCUUGUUCCCAGUUUGUUGUAACAAGUUUGAAACAAGCUGUUAACAACUUGUAAAAACUUGAUGGCAUUAUCAGCCUUGUUACAAGAUUGUGCUAACAAGUUUGUUACAGCCAUGAUAUAACAAGGAUGUUACAAGGUUGUCAACACAAGGUUGUAACAAUCUUGUUAUAUCAAGCAUGUCACAGACUUGUCAGAACAACCUUGCAACGAGUCUGAUAAUUUCGACAAGGUUGUUACAAGUUGUCAACAAGUUGUUCCAAACCUGUUGACAACUUGUGGCAAGCAGUGCGAAUACAUCUUGUUAACAGCUUGUGAACAAACUUGUGCGUUUUUACGUGUGUACGGUAUCGCAAACACAUCUUGUUGAGAAGUUGUUGGAACCGCUUUGUCACAACUUGUUAACAAUCUUGCUACAAACCUAUUGCAAACACAUCUUAUUGACAAGUUGUUGGAUCAGCAUUGUCACAACUUGUUAACAAGCUUGCUACAAACCUGUUGAGGAGUCAUCUUGUUAACAAGUUGUUGGAACAGCAUUGUCAGAACUUGUUAACAAGCUUGCUACAAACCUGUUGAGGAGACAUCUUGUUGACAAGUUAUUCGAACAGCAUUGUGACAACGUUAACUAAAAUUCGCGCACCCAGCGCUGCGCAAAUUCUAGUACUGCGCAAAUUUUAAUAGAAGUAAGGUAUAUAAUAGAAGUAUGUAAUAUUAAUAUUGCCGUAAAACCUUAUUGAACUUUAAUUAGGCCAUAUUUUUGCAAAGCCGAUAGAUUCUGUUCAAACAAAUAUAGAAAAGUCAUGUUGUCCUUUCUGUACCAUGCGGUGACUGUGAGAAACAGUAUCUGCAUGGGUCAGUCCAGCCUGCGUAGCAGGCGUUUAGUGCGUGCGGGAGAAGAAAGGGCGUCGUUUAACGACGCCCUCUCUUCUCCCGCUCGCACUAGACGCCUGCUACGCAGGCUAGGGUUAGUCUAAACGUCAGUUUGGCACACGGCUAAAAGUAGGCUGUUUCGUUAUAUUGAUAUAGUCCUUAAAUAUCGAAAAUACCGACGAAAUAUCGAAAUUAUUUCCCGGUAACGUCUAGAGAACACGCGUUUAUCACAAAAGAUCACAACAGGACUACCCAGACAAGCGGCAGUUUAUUUUUAUAUUCGAUUAGUUUCACGCGACUUUGUUUGUUUUGCUGUUUUUGACGCGGUAUACGUUUUCUUUUGCGUUUGUGAUGCGGUAUAUUGACUAAUAAAACUACAUUUCGUAAUUUUGCUUGUUUUCAUAUUUUCGACAUUUGCAUAUUUCGAUAUCGAUAUACUGUAUCGAAAUUUUCCAAUACCGCAACAGCCUACGCCAACAAGAACCUCAAAAGGCUAUUCCAACUUUUAAAUAAGUGCAAAUCAUGGGAAUACUCGAGAGUCAUUACCACUAACAAUCCCUAUGGCCAAAGAUUUUAGUCAGAUCCGGGAAUAAUGAUGUAGUUUGCUCGAGUUCUAAUGAAUACAAUGUAUUUUUAGGAUUGUAUAAAGGGUAUCAAAGUCGGUGAUUUGGAUUCAUUUGGCCACCAUAUUAAAGCCAACUGUACAUUUUUGGCAUUCAAUACAGAUGGUGGU
Molecule: long non-coding RNA, 8690 nt
Filed under: Paramuricea clavata
Lineage: Eukaryota; Metazoa; Cnidaria; Anthozoa; Malacalcyonacea; Plexauridae
Source: RNAcentral